GUUUUUGUAGUUGAAUACAACAGUGGUUUUUCGUAUUACAGGUCUUGGUUUAAGUCCAAGUAAAAACG
This 68-nucleotide transfer RNA is filed under the name Scincella huanrenensis. Its description in RNAcentral is "tRNA-Glu". It matches the Rfam family "tRNA". Rfam says of the family: Transfer RNA (tRNA) molecules are approximately 80 nucleotides in length. Lineage: Eukaryota; Metazoa; Chordata; Lepidosauria; Squamata; Scincidae. The record is from RNAcentral.